Molecule: ribosomal RNA, 231 nt
Filed under: uncultured beta proteobacterium
Lineage: Bacteria; Pseudomonadati; Pseudomonadota; Betaproteobacteria
Description: partial 16S ribosomal RNA
Rfam family: Bacterial small subunit ribosomal RNA
Source: RNAcentral
CUUGACAUGGUCGGAAUCCUGCUGAGAGGCGGGAGUGCUCGAAAGAGAACCGGCGCUCAGGUGCUGCAUGGCUGUCGUCAGCUCGUGUCGUGAGAUGUUGGGUUAAGUCCCGCAACGAGCGCAACCCUUGUCAUUAGUUGCUACAUUCAGUUGAGCACUCUAAUGAGACUGCCGGUGACAAACCGGAGGAAGGUGGGGAUGACGUCAAGUCCUCAUGGCCCUUAUGGGUAG